RNAcentral lists this small RNA (28 nucleotides) under Bombyx mori (domestic silkworm). Its description in RNAcentral is "ovarian small RNA-9840". Lineage: Eukaryota; Metazoa; Arthropoda; Insecta; Lepidoptera; Bombycidae. The record is from RNAcentral.
AAAACAGCUAAACCACCAACAAAGAAAC